GUCGAGCGAUCUUCUUCGGAAGAGAGCGGCGGACGGGUGAGUAACGCGUGGGUAACCUGCCCUGUACACACGGAUAACAUACCGAAAGGUAUGCUAAUACGGGAUAACAUAAGAAAUUCGCAUGUUUUUCUUAUCAAAGCUCCGGCGGUACAGGAUGGACCCGCGUCUGAUUAGCUAGUUGGUGAGGUAACGGCUCACCAAGGCGACGAUCAGUAGCCGACCUGAGAGGGUGAUCGGCCACAUUGGAACUGAGACACGGUCCAAACUCCUACGGGAGGCAGCAGUGGGGAAUAUUGCACAAUGGGCGAAAGCCUGAUGCAGCAACGCCGCGUGAGCGAUGAAGGCCUUCGGGUCGUAAAGCUCUGUCCUCAAGGAAGAUAAUGACGGUACUUGAGGAGGAAGCCCCGGCUAACUACGUGCCAGCAGCCGCGGUAAUACGUAGGGGGCUAGCGUUAUCCGGAUUUACUGGGCGUAAAGGGUGCGUAGGCGGUCUUUUAAGUCAGGAGUGAAAGGCUACGGCUCAACCGUAGUAAGCUCUUGGAACUGGAGGACUUGAGUGCAGGAGAGGAGAGUGGAAUUCCUAGUGUAGCGGUGAAAUGCGUAGAUAUUAGGAGGAACACCAGUAGCGGAGGCGGCUCUCUGGACUGUAACUGACGCUGAGGCACGAAAGCGUGGGGAGCAAACAGGAUUAGAUACCCUGGUAGUCCACGCCGUAAACGAUGAGUACUAGGUGUCGGGGGUUACCCCCCUCGGUGCCGCAGCUAACGCAUUAAGUACUCCGCCUNGGGAGUACGCUCGCAAGAGUGAAAC
Molecule: ribosomal RNA, 810 nt
Filed under: uncultured bacterium
Lineage: Bacteria
Description: bacterial SSU rRNA
Rfam family: Bacterial small subunit ribosomal RNA
Source: RNAcentral